ACACCGUUAAGUGAUGAAUGAAAAAAUACAUAGAAACAAAAACAAUAGAAGAAAUACUAAAGCUUGUGUCUCUAUCCAUCACCCUCACCCCUUGUCUAGUUUUCUCACGUCUUACUCAUUCCUCCCACUGCAUCAUUUAUCAACCAACCAUUAACUUUCCCUGUCAUCUCUCUCACCUAGUUCUCUUCACUCCUUUCAUUAUUUUCUUAGCUGCUGCAUCACCAUGUUCACAAAACUAUGCCUUGUACUUGCUACUAACUAGUACUGUGGCCAGGCCCGUUCAAGAGGCUUUCAUGAUUGGUAGGAGAUUUCUACCUAAUCAUUUACUCCUUUCUGCUUAAAAUUAGUGUAUGAUAUUGUCUUGAACCGUGAACUUGUGAUUGAGAGGGGCUGCAUUAUUGUUCAAAUUUGGAGCAAGAUGGCUGAAAGGAAAUUGAAUAUUAACGCCCCUCUCAUGUCUGUGAGACGCUCUGCUGCUACACCACCGUCCCUAACUGAAGCAAAGAAGAAGAUAUUGGAGAAACGCCAUACUCUUGCACACUACAAAUCAGACAUGAACUCAGAUCAGGUAACAGAACCUGUUGCAGUCCCUUUCAAUUGGGAGCAUAUCCCUGGAAGGCGCAAGGGUAAUGGUGGAUCUGAGCCUCAACCUCCUAAGGCCACUUCCAUCACUCCAAGCCCAAGGCUUCCCCCAGGAAAAUCUAUCAAUGCUCCCAAACAGCCAUUGGAAAAGGAAAGUAAGGUUGCAAAUAGAUACAAGCCCUCUAAUAAAUCGAAGUCUUUCAAUGUCAGUGUGGUUAAAGUAGACAGUGAGAAAGAGAGAAAAGCAGACAAAAUUGUUGAGAACAGAAGGUCUAAUGUGGAGUAUGAUGGUGAUGGUGAUGGUGAUGACGAUGCUUAUUCCGAUGCCCUUGAUACACUGUCACCUACAGAAUCAUUCUCCAUGAACUGUAGUGAAAGUGGUGUAAGCGGGUUAGAGAAUAUGGAUGCAAAGAGAUUUGGAACCUUUUCCACAGAUCAACAAACUAGAGACUUCAUGAUGAGCAGAUUCUUGCCUGCUGCAAAGGCUAUGACUCUACAACCUUCUCAAUAUUCUUCAAAAAAGCAAUCUGUACUAGUAGAACAACCACCUAGAGAUGUUAGCAAAUUGAUUCGUGACGAAAAGAAGCCAUUGAUUAAUAAGCCUAACACUGAUAUUAUACCAUACACUGGCCAAUGUCAAGAGGAAGAAAGUGAAGAUGGUGAUAAUAAUGAGUGUGACAACUCUGCUGAUAUCACAGCCAAAGGCUGCGGGUUGUUACCUCAAUUACACAUUAGGAAUUCAUUGUGCUUAUUGAAUCCUGUGGCUGCGAUGAAAGUGAAGAACCAGGUUUCCUUGCCUUCAAUCACUGAGGUUAAGAAACCAAACAAAAGAAUUAGAUCUUUUAGCCCAGUUCCAGCUGUAAAGAAGGCUUGGGAUGCUAUUCACAAAAACAAAUCAGGCUCUGGGGCUGCAUCACCUGAUGCACAAGAGGGUAGAAAAAAAUGGAGUAUUGAAUCAAACAGAUUUACUUACUCUGGUGAGUUGCUUCCAGGUAGACUCUCUCCCUUCCGUCGUUCAAGAGCUGCUGCUACUGGUAUAUCUCCCAGUAGAAAUAGACCCCAAUCUCCCUUUCGUGGUGCUAAGGUUCUUGGUGAUUCUAAAGAGCCUGAAAGUUAUAAGUUUAGCAAGGUGAAAUUCCACAGUGGUGCACUUGGAAAUGUUCAAGAUGUGCUACUGACUCAAGGACCCAAAAGAACUUCAUAUUCAGGGAGUCUCACAAUUGAAAAGACAUUGUACAUAGAUACUGCCAGCACAGCCAAAUUAUCAUCUUUAAAUGUAAGUUCUUUAGAUAAUAAACGGAGGGUAGAUACUAUGGUUGCAGAGUUAGACAGAAGGGGGAAAGAAAGUAAUUCCUCCUUAGGAUCUUCUCAAGAGAUAAAACAAGUACAUGCUGUGGAGGAAAAGGACACACUUGAUAUUGAAGUGUUAAAGUCCUUGGAUUCCAUUCCACCAAGUUUGUAUAGUAUUUUGAAUCUCGCAGCCAAAGAAGGCAAAGAAAAAGGAUUGACAACUGAUCAAAAUAUUAGCCAAGAACUUGCGUCCUUGCAUCUUGUUGAAGGGACAUUCGCUGAAGAUUCAAAGACCAACACCCAGCAAAUUGUAUUAGCUAAUGAUCCAGGAAAAGAUGGUGCUGAAUCUGGUGUGUCUCCUCUUCCCCCUCCAUUGCCAAAAUCACCUUCCGAGUCCUGGCUUUGGCGUGCCCUGCCUUUAGUUCCUGUGAAGAAUUCUUUCCUGCACUCAAGUCAAGGUACUCAAUCUCAAGCCAAAAGGCAUGAUUCUAAUACAACAUCUGGUAAUCUCAAGUGGGAGACAAUAGUGAAGACUUCGAAUUUGCAUCAUGAUCAUGUACGCUAUUCUCAGGAACUACCCACGCAUAAAUCUCAGCACUAAAUCUUAGAGAUGAAGCUCAGUAAUCAUGUUAUGGUCCAAGCUAAAGGGGUCCUCUUUUUCUAAAUACACUUACAUGUAUAGAGAGAAAUCGAAAGUCAUUUUUUGGUGAUCAAUAAAAGUAAAGCUUCUUUUGGACUUGUGGGACUUUCUCAGGUUUCAAGAUUUCCUAACCUGCCCUAGGGAAGUGUAUAUCAGCUAGUAAUGUGUGGCUUUCAUCAUGUUGUUUUAGUCUUCUUCGCUUCUUUCUGCUUAAUCAGAGGAAUGAUCCUUUAGGUUCCCUCUCCUGGUGCCACUUAAUCUUCAGGUAUCAGCAAUUUUUAUUUAUGUCAGCUGACAUAAGGGAUUACUGUUUCCUUGCUUUAUUGGUUUUUCCAUUUUUUAUACACGAAGAGAAGAAUUCUUCAAAUAUUUUAGUUUGGCUUUCCUCAGCACUUUCAGAAGCUUUUAUCCAAGUAUGUAAAUCAGAUCAAUUCUGAGUUGAGAUAAAUUUCAGAUUCUCAUUUGUUUGGUGUAUUUCUCAUCUGAUCCUGUUUGCAAAACCUGGCACAGCAAUAGGGCAAAGUAUUGUCAUCGAUUGCAGCAGUGAUACAUUCAUGUAAAUUGUAAAGUAUAUAAAUGCUCUUCCGUUCAUGAUUUUCUUAAUCUGUUAAUUGAUUAUGCUAUCCAAAUGCCGUUUGA
RNA transcript from Cajanus cajan (pigeon pea), 3151 nucleotides. RefSeq lists it as uncharacterized. The record is from RefSeq and is a predicted model, not a curated record. NCBI's taxonomy places the organism in Eukaryota, Viridiplantae, Streptophyta, Magnoliopsida, Fabales, Fabaceae.